RNAcentral lists this long non-coding RNA (203 nucleotides) under Coffea arabica (coffee). Its description in RNAcentral is "long non-coding RNA (CARA_LNC006317)". The record is from RNAcentral. Lineage: Eukaryota; Viridiplantae; Streptophyta; Magnoliopsida; Gentianales; Rubiaceae.
CAGCAUGCCCUUUGCCGAGGCACAACCACAACUCCACCCUGCCGCCUGCUCAGUUUCUUCUUCACGACCCUGCCGUUGCCGCAGCCAGCUGCGCCUUCCUCGUCCAACAAGGGAAGAAAAUGCAAGCUGAGGAAAAAGGCAGCCAUAGCCAAACGAAAACAAAGAAAUCAACAACUAGUUGUUGUUUCCGCCGCUACCACCAG